RNAcentral lists this ribosomal RNA (305 nucleotides) under uncultured bacterium. RNAcentral's name for it is "bacterial SSU rRNA". It matches the Rfam family "Bacterial small subunit ribosomal RNA", at positions 335 to 637 of the family's 1533-position model. The record is from RNAcentral.
UCUCCUACGGGAGGCAGCAGUGAGGAAUAUUGGUCAAUGGGCGAGAGCCUGAACCAGCCAAGUCGCGUGAGGGAGUACUGCCCUAUGGGUUGUAAACCUCUUUAGGCGGGGAGCAAUGCCGGGCACGUGUGCCCGGAGGGAGAGUACCCGCAGAAUAAGCAUCGGCUAACUCCGUGCCAGCAGCCGCGGUAAUACGGAGGAUGCGAGCGUUAUCCGGAUUUAUUGGGUUUAAAGGGUGCGUAGGCGGAUUUUUAAGUCAGCGGUAAAAUGUCCGGGCUCAACCCGGGCUGGCCGUUGAAACUGGG